This 994-nucleotide ribosomal RNA is filed under the name Rhizopus arrhizus. RNAcentral's name for it is "LSU rRNA". It matches the Rfam family "Eukaryotic large subunit ribosomal RNA", at positions 38 to 964 of the family's 3401-position model. Lineage: Eukaryota; Fungi; Mucoromycota; Mucoromycetes; Mucorales; Rhizopodaceae. The record is from RNAcentral.
GCAUAUCAAUAAGCGGAGGAAAAGAAAAUAACAAUGAUUUCCCUAGUAACGGCGAGUGAAGAGGAAAGAGCUCAAAGUUGGAACCUGUUUGGCCUAGCUAAACCGGAUUGUAGACUGUAGAAGUGUUUUCCAGGCAAGCCGAGUAAAUAAGUCCUUUGGAACAGGGCAUCAUAGAGGGUGAGAAUCCCGUCUUUGGCUUGAGCAUUUGCCUUUUGUGAUACGCUUUCAAAGAGUCAGGUUGUUUGGGAAUGCAGCCUAAAUUGGGUGGUAAAUCUCACCUAAAGCUAAAUAUUGGCGAGAAACCGAUAGCGAACAAGUACCGUGAGGGAAAGAUGAAAAGAACUUUGAAAAGAGAGUUAAACAGUAUGUGAAAUUGUUAAAAGGGAACCGUUUGGAGCCAGACUGGCUUGUCUGUAAUCAAUCUAGGCUUCGGCCUGGAUGCACUUGCAGGCUAUGCCUGCCAACGACAAUUUGACUUGAGGGAAAAAACUAGGGGAAAUGUGGCCCACUUGUGGGUGUUAUAGUCCCUUAGAAAAUACCUUGGGUUGGAUUGAGGAACGCAGCGAAUGCUUAUUGGCGAGUUUUCCAGGAAGGUUUUCUGAGGUACUACGGUAUCAAGGUUGAUCUUUUUGGUUAUACUUCUAUUCGCUUAGGUUGUUGGCUUAAUGACUCUAAAUGACCCGUCUUGAAACACGGACCAAGGAGUCCACCAUUAGUGCGAGUAUUUGGGUGCCAAACCCAUAUGCGUAAGGAAACUGAUUGAUACGAAUCCAUUAAGGAGGCAGUAUCGUCCGGCGCUGACGUUUUAUACUGAAUUGACCGAGACAAAGCACUAAUGAUGGGACCCGAAAGAUGGUGAACUAUGCCUGAAUAGGGUGAAGCCAGAGGAAACUCUGGUGGAGGCUCGUAGCGAUUCUGACGUGCAAAUCGAUCGUCAAAUUUGGGUAUAGGGGCGAAAGACUAAUCGAACCAUCUAGUAGCUGGUUCCUGCCGA